GACGAGCGCUGGCGGCGUGCUUAACACAUGCAAGUCGAACGGAAAGGCCCUGCUUUUGUGGGGUGCUCGAGUGGCGAACGGGUGAGUAACACGUGAGUAACCUGCCCUUGACUUUGGGAUAACUUCAGGAAACUGGGGCUAAUACCGGAUAGGAGCUCCUGCUGCAUGGUGGGGGUUGGAAAGUUUCGGCGGUUGGGGAUGGACUCGCGGCUUAUCAGCUUGUUGGUGGGGUAGUGGCUUACCAAGGCUUUGACGGGUAGCCGGCCUGAGAGGGUGACCGGACACAUUGGGACUAGGAAACGGCCAGGAGUCACACGGGGGGAAGCAGCGGGGAAGAUGGCACAAGGGGCGGAAGCAUGAGGCAGCAACGGCGCGGGCGGGAGGACGGUCUGCGGGUUGGAAACCGCGUCCGCCGGUGACGAAGCGGGAGUGACGGUAAGGGGUAAAGAAGCACCGGCUAACUACGUG
Molecule: ribosomal RNA, 468 nt
Filed under: uncultured bacterium
Lineage: Bacteria
Description: partial 16S ribosomal RNA
Rfam family: Bacterial small subunit ribosomal RNA
Source: RNAcentral